GUCCGUGCGUGGCGUCGGAUGUGCUUGCCAGCGAAUAUUUGUGCCGCCACCGGAUUCUUGCGUUUAGUAGGGAUUUCGACGCGUUACUGCACGGACGUAUGUCGCGGCAGUUGGACGACGACGACGAAGAGAACGCUGAGAAGUGAAAGAGACAGAAUAUAUUAGAAGUUGUGCUAUUUUUUGUUUUAUGAAAUUCACUCGGCCUCGUCUUUGACUUCGUCACAGCAGUCAUUUGAGCGCCAGUGGUAAUAACAGUUCGGUUGAAUGUUGACGGUGGCGGCGAGGCUAAGGUUUUGUGCUGUUGACAUUUGGUAUCGAGGCAGUAAACUGUGAAAGGGUACAAAGUCACAACGCGACGAAGUCGUUAAAGUAGAGUACAAAUUAAUCUAGCAAGUAUGUACAUAUGUGUACGCAUGUGUGCGUGCGCUCGCGUUAUGUGGUGAAAGUAAAAGGUGAAUAUUGCUGAAUAUUUUGUUUUUCGAAAAAUAAGAUUAUUUGAAAGUCAACGAGUGAAGAGCAAAAAACGUUUUUCCAAAACAAAAAAAAAAAAAACAAAAAAAAGUUAAAAUAAAUAAGUGUGAAAAAUGUGAGAGCAAAAUUAAGAUGGAAUAAAAAUUUGCUAAGCAUUAAAAAAGCAAGUUGAGUGGCGAGCAGUAUUUCGUUUUCGACGCAACUAUUGAAUUUGUAUUUUGUGUAUGUUUGGCAAAUAAAUCAACUUGAAGUGUGUGAUAAGUGUUAGCAGGCAGACAACAACAAAAACAAAAGUACAACGCCUAAGUCGACAGCGUCCUUUGCGAAACGUGUGUGGAGCAGCAGCAGCGGCGCUAAGCAGUGUAUCCAAACACAAGGCACUUAAGCAGCGAGACGAAUGUAUGGAAAAUUGCAAUAAAUCAAUGGAAGUAGCAAGAGCAAAAGCGAAAACUGAACAAUGAUGUGAAAAUAGUUUUAGAAAGUAAAAAUACAACAUUUGUUUUUGAAAUACCGUUACAUAAAAUAAAUAGAAAACGACGAGAGAAAUAUAAAUUAUUUGAUUAACUCGCUCCGUUCGCUUCGCCUUCUUCCUUAACUCCCACUUCUUCUUACCACCCAGCACUUUGUUGGCGUACGUGUGCUUGUCGCGUAAAUGUGUCGCUCAGCUGUCUGCUCCACAACAACAACAACAAAUACAAGCGAAAGCAUCUGCCAGUGCGACAUUGACGUCAGCUCCGCGAAAGUCGUGCAGUUUUAAAAAAACAUUUCACUGGAUUAAAUGAUAUCGAUCAUGCAACGCUCUAAAUGACGACGACACCUUUAAACGACGGAUAGCGCGGGAUGUAUCAGUUUUAUUUGUGAUAUUUGCUUUCCUUAAGUUAAAGACAUUCUUCAACAAAAUCUUCAAGUGGUCGAAAAAGUCGUAGAUUUUUUGGGUGGAGGGGGCCACGCAGUGGUUCCCUUGGCCCGCGGGCCGGAAUGGCUUCCUACAAUGGGGUGCUAAAGGAUUACGGACACAGCAGUUUGAAUGAGGCUUUCAAAUCCCAAAACAAUAUCAACUUUAAGUUAAUCAAAACAGUAUCUGAUUUCACCGAAACCCUCUCCCAUUUAUACGAGGAACAUGCUACUGCCCUACAAUCUUUAGUCUCCAAUUUUCGUAAAAAGAAUGCAGAACUUCGCAAAGAAAGACCCGCUUGCCAUCUGGCAAUUUUCCAAGCAUGGGAAACAUUCCUACAGGAGGUCGAAACCGAUUCUCAGGCAUCAAACGAUGUGGCCAGCGUGCUUUCACGUCAGGUGUCACGUCCAAUGCUCGAUAAAUCCUUUCAUCGUAAAGUUCAAAGUCGGAAAAUUUUCACACACAGGGAGUCUUUUGAGACUAUUAUCGCAAAGACUGAAGAGAAGCUUUCGAAGUGUCGUUUGGAUUACAAACAGUGUUACAUGUCGCAUCGUCAAAAUCCCACACCACUUUCACUCACCGAAUACAUAGACGCACACAAUGCGUACGUGCAACAGUUGCAUGCCACCAAUGCCAUGCUGGAGAUCUACCAUUGUGAGACGGUGCCGCAGUUAAUGCAAGAACUGGAGGAGAUACACAAUGAUUUAUGCAGUAUUAUCGCCGAAUCGAUACAACAGGGUGCAGAUGUCAUUGCCAACAAGGCAUCGGAUCAAGCGAAACGCUACGGCUCUCUGACCGCGCAGUGCGGCGCCGUGUCACCGAUGCAGGAUCUCACGAGCUUCGUACGCAUUCUGCCGCCGCUACCCACGCAGGUGCAAAAAGUUCCUAAGCGCAUGUUUGCGCCUCCCCAGCUGCCGGCCGAAGUCGAGGAUAAUGGUGAUUUUAAUGAAAUAGCUCCAGUGUUGCGCAACGAGUUGGUCUUCGAUCGCCAUUCGACGCUGUCGUUGCGUCCAGCCCUGGAAUCGUUGAAGCGGGAGGCGCAUGAGCUGGAAAUGCAAAUACGUCUUUUACAGGAUACCGUGGAUGGUUUGAAUCGCACGCAGCAGCGUGGCAUCGAGGGACAAUUGUACAACAAGGUCAAUGAGCUACAGGAGGAGCUCUCUUUGAAGAAAUUUGAUUUGCGCGCUAAGCAGUUGCACUUCGCUGCCAUCAAAGCACAGAAAGAUUUGUACGUGAGCAAAGUUGAUCCGGGUUCGCCACGCGCCGAGCGUAAACUUUCAGCCGCGACCGCGCCAUCGAUGAAAACAAAGUGGCUGAAAGCAUUUAGAAGCCUAAAGCCGGCUUCCGGUUCAGCACCCGCCGAUAGGCGCAAUGGAGCCGCCGGCACAUCCUCACAACCGCUACGUCCCAACGAGGAUGGCAGCCACCACCUGCAGGAGUACACAUACAAGAAGAUAACCGCCUGCGAUGUCUGCUCCCAAAUAUUAAGAGGUCACACACGUCAGGGAUUACGCUGCCGCAUCUGCAAACUGAACGCUCAUGGCGACUGCGCAUCUCAACUGCCCCGCUGCCAGCCGAAGCAGAAGCUACUGCGGCGACAGAAGAGCACAUCGGAGCUGGAGAACCGCGUCGAUGUCGAGGAAGAAAUUGCAGACACCAACUCAAGUCCAACACGAAUACCCGGCGAACCACUUAUGCUGAAUAGGAAAAUCCUCAAAAACAGCCAAAGUGGCAGCAGCGAGCAAGCGCCCACGGAAGUCGCCACGCUAAGUGAGCUUGCUUGCGCCAGCAGAGCCACGCCUUCGCUCAGCAGCAGAGCAGCCACGCCGGCGCCAAGUGAAAGCGGCCGAAGCGUCGGAACAGCUAAAACAGGAAAGAAACGCGUGCAACUAAAAUGAGUGCUGAAAAGAGGACGCGGAAACAUUAAGUAUUACUAAUAGAAGAGAGGUAAGAGCGGAGACAGACUCAAGGCUCUCAUCACUGCAUCAUUGGUGACACCGUUCAACCGACUGCAGGAUUUCGAUGAAUUGGAUUUGAUGUGAAGUGGAGCGGUCCAUGCUCCCAGUCGCAUCGUUUGAUAUUGUUUAGAACCUAUUUUUAUUGCUAUUUUUAUUCGUAUUAUUAUCUGAACUUCUAACGUCUAAAAGCACAAGUGCAUCCGCCCUUCUGCCCUACCCUAAUUAAUGUUCAAUGAACCUCCUUAGCCGAAAUGAAAUAUUUAAUGAUAUAAUAAUAUAUUCUUAAUGCAUAGCCUCUGUGACAGCAAUAAUAACUGUAAAUUAUAUAGGAUUAAUUUAGGACUACAGCGAGAAAUACUGUGUAACCAAUUCGGCUAGAAGUGAAAAGGUGUAAAGUAAUUAUCAUUAGCUACACCCGAGAGUAUUCGACAGCCUGGAAUCAUGCUAUUUUUUCGCAAAUUGCAUUAAGUUAAUUAAGGACAAUUUUUGUAAUUAAUUUUUAAUUUCUUCCAUUUCGCACUCUAUUCUUUCCGUUGUUGUAUCGAAAGUUAAAUACUAAUAAUUUAUUGUUGUACUUAUCCAUGUAGUCCUGUUAGAUCUGAUUUAUAUCACUUAAUAAGCAUUAAAUGUGCUCGGUGGUUAUUUCCGUAAGCCCCGUUAAUUAUUCCGAUUAAAUGCUUCAUUUUCAGUGAUUUUAUAUAAUUUAUUCAGUACUACGGCCCUUUUGGCCGCCAUUUUUUCCCACUCAUUGUACUCAAUUUUAAUUGUGUUGUUGCAUAUUUCCAGUGAAUUAUUCAGUGUGUUAAACUUUAGAAAUAAAUUGCACAAAUUAUAUAUAUUGUUAUUAAGUGUUGUUGUUGUAUUGUGUUAGCAGCGUGUGUGGGUUUUUAAAAAUUAAAUAAAAAUAUUGUAUAUUAAACACAUCUAAAGGUAAACAUUUAUUGUGGUUUUAUUCUAUUUCUAUUUUAUUUGCGCAUAAGUAUUUCGCCAACACAUGGCAACUCGCCUCUCACUAGGCCAAACGCGCUGCGACUUUAAGCCCAUAAAAACUUAAAAAAAUACUUUUUUUUGAUUUUACAUUUACAUUAUUAUUUGUAUGCUUUGUAUGUUGAGUGCACACGACAAUUAAAUUAUUCAUACGAAGUAACCGAUUGCAACUCUGUCACAAGAAAAUAAUGCCGAUUGAGAUGAUUUAUUCAUGGUGCUUUAAUAAAUUAGUUUCAUGGUUAAUUGAGUUCGUAAUUUCAAAUAAAGGAGCUACUGUGGGCCACUCAUUCAUUCAAAGUUGGUUGACACCGAACGCCGAAGAGCCUCGCAUAUAAACACAAAACAAACAAUUAACCCUGAUUUGGCUUUUAAAGGCCAAAAGAGUUGUUGGUGUAGUUAACGACAUUUAAAAAAAUAAUGAAAGAAAUAAAUAAAUAUAAAGGUGAAAUAUGUGAAAUAAACAUUUUCGUACAUUCUUUAUAUAAACUUAAAACCCACCAGAGUUCCUCCUUUCGGCCACCUAACGUCUCGUUCUCUUGUAAUUAUGUAGAGAAAGUGCGCGGAAAAUGGUGUCUGAGAGGCUCAUUAAUUAUAUGUGUUAUUGCUUUUGUAGAGUCCACCAUAAAACCUGCACGAAAUAUCAAUAUGAAGCACAAUUGAGAUAGGCGGUCCCUACAAACAGCCGCAACACCAUGCACUCAGCACAUGAAAACUUAGAGACGCAUCGGAUGUGUAUAUUUAAGCUUUUGUUUGUGUUCUUGCACGUUUUGUUCCUUUAAAUACUUUAAAACACUAGAAACUAUAAUGGAAAAUACACGACACCCUUUACUUAGAGUGAAAUUUCCUUUGAAAAUCAAAUCAGAAACCGAAAUUUUUCAAUUCACUCUGUGAGCUUGCAAAGCCACCCCACAUCCUUCACAGAUCUGGUCUUUCGGUCGCUAACCUAAGUGCACACACAACUCACCCACACCGACACAGAAUUGGAAAUGAAGAGAAGAAAAAACUUUCCAACUGCUUUGCUCACUAAAUGUUUCCUACUUUAUUAUCUAAAUAUAUUUAGCAAUAUUUACUCCCUAGUUGUUCGGAUAUUAGUUGUAAGUUGUAUGCAUAGUUGAAAUAAUGAAAAAUUAAUGCAUUUUUUCGAAACAAAUUUUUCUUCAACAUUUUUUGUGUUGCUACCAAAAUUUCAAAUUUAUUCAUCAUCAAAUAUUCAUCAAACGACAUGUUGUACAAUAAAAAUAACAACAACAACAAUAAAAACACAACGUCGCAUACGAAUGGCUAUCGUCGUAUCAUGCUUACAACAACAUAAAACCGAACUACUAAAUUUCUCAUCAAUUUGACACGAUUUGAAACGACCACUUUCAACCGACAACAACAACCAACAUCCGUUAAACUCAUCGAAUAAAUACCUUGCAUAUCGCCAACAACAACAGCACCGCACUCGCCGCGUCGGCAAAAGCUGAAUUUGCGCAUGAAAUCACUGAGCUUGGAUUCGCCGGAAUCGACGGAACUGCACGGUCAAAUUCGUCGGCGCCAGCAGCCGGUCAUCGGUCCAACAACAGUUGUCGGUGGCGGCAGUGUAUAUUAUCAUGGUGGAUCCGGUGGACACUUGGAGCACAAUACACCGCCGUCGAACAAUAGCCGUUUGCAUUCAUUCAAACGUGCAUUUACAGCGCCUUCCAGCCCCUCACACCAGGGCCGCAAGUUGCUGUAUGCCACGCGCGGCAUGCGCGGCGGCAGCGUCGACCUGCCCGACGAGAUGGAGAAGUCACAGUCGUCGGCGAGCACCUCGCCGUGCCCCUCACCAAAAUCUCACCGCUUAUUGCCAACGAAUUUGUAUGUGAUUUUGUACAAUUUCAAAGCGCGCCACGCUGAUGAGCUAGACCUGAAGGCUGGUUACAAGGUCACCGUCAUCGACACCUCGGACCCAGACUGGUGGCAGGGCAAAUUGCUAGGUCGUGUCGGUUACUUCCCAUCCAAAUAUUGUGUACGUCUAAAUGCCAACGAGAAGCCGUUACAGGUCACACAUAACUUACAAGUGUCUGAUGGUGAGCGAGGGGAGAGUAUGACGCUUUUACGGGAUCAAAUAGUUAUACAGACUGGAGACGAAGUCAACGGUAUGGUGAUGGUGCGCUCUGCAGAGAAUCGUCAGGGCUAUUGCCCCGUUAAGUACCUGCAAGAGGUGUGACAGCCAAAAGAGCCGCCAGUUGAGCGUGACAAGCCGCAGAAAUCUUCGCUGUCAUCAAAGCUUUUAGAUAAAACGAAACGUAGAAUAAGAAUUGUAGUCUCUGAGAAUGGUGGUAGUGGCGCGAGUUACACCAAUCUGGGUCGCGAGCCCAGUGCACCUCCUGCCGAACACGGGAUGAAAAAUAUAAAUAUCGAUUACAAUGACGACUACACUGGGGGCGUAGAAGAAGAGUACUAUGGGAGUUUUGAUGCGGCCACUGCCAGUAGUAGAAGUAAAAAUGAUAAAAAUUGGGAGAACUGGGAACGCAUAAGAGAACAGAAAUUGGAAAGAAUGAAAAACAUUUGCUUUGAAAGUUACCGUCAAUCGAAACGAGAUCGAAUGCAACAAGCUAAACCGAAACCGAAACAACUUGAUCCUACUUGGUAUACAGACAAUAUAUAUUCUAAUCGCUCCGAAGAUCUCGAAGAGGACUAUGUGCCGGAGUGCCUAAAAUAUGGAACAUAUCGUAAGCUUCGCAACAUCCGCGAACAGGAUGAGUUCUUUGUGGAGGAUGUUUUGGAUGACGCUCCGCCAGAUGUUGGUAAUAAAGGCAAGCGUGGUGAAGGGGAAGGUUCGUCCGGUUAUGGAUUGCAUCGCUCAAUAAGUUGUAAGGAGUUUCAGUAUCCAAAGUCACAGAGUUGUUAUGUGAUGAGUGGUGGCACGUCCUAUGAAGGUGGCGGUACCACAUCCAUAUUGAAGAAAACCAAUGUGCCCAAAUCAUAUUCGUUCAGUGCCACGACGUCUAAGACGACACCCUUCGAUGUGAUGGACUACGAACUGCCGCAAUCGGGCGCAACGCGCCGCCAUAAACAAGAGGCCUUCCGCAAGUCCGCGGGCUACUACUGCAGCAGCAGCCUUGACGAGAGCACGCUAGCUUAUGCGACUCACGAACCGCCGACGUCAACUCCGCCGCCUCCGCCGGCGCCGCAUUCAUGUUGCGCUCGGGAACAAUGCACCAGCGUCAAUUGUCUACUUGACGAAAUCUAUCCGAGCUAUUCGGCGGCGGCCGGACGUCGUACAUGGCGCAGCCGUGGCACGCCCGUGGGCAUGUAUAGCGCUGGCGCCAGCGGUGGUAGCAACAGGAACCUACAUACCGCCUCCGCCUCCACCACAGCCGAUUGGGUCGAAGAACGGGAACGCGGUAGCCAGCGUGUGGCAGCGGCUUCGCGCUACUCUUUACACUCGGGACGUGGGCGCGAUCAUGAACGUGAACGCCACAGCGAUCGUGAGUGUGAGCAGCCACCGCCGCCGCCACCAACGGUAGUAUGCUGUUGUGCCGCCGAUGACU
Non-coding RNA from Bactrocera oleae (olive fruit fly), 7829 nucleotides. Lineage: Eukaryota; Metazoa; Arthropoda; Insecta; Diptera; Tephritidae. The record is from RefSeq and is a predicted model, not a curated record.